RNAcentral lists this unclassified non-coding RNA (633 nucleotides) under Hevea brasiliensis (rubber tree). The record is from RNAcentral. Lineage: Eukaryota; Viridiplantae; Streptophyta; Magnoliopsida; Malpighiales; Euphorbiaceae.
UGGGUAGGCAGCUCAAAAGCUUAGUUGAAAAUGCCAACACCAGCAUCAGCAUUGCGAGCGAGUUUUGUCCACUCUGUGUGGUAGGAGCCUUGGCGAUCCACACGUUCAUAUGUAUGAGCCCCAAAUAGGUCUCUCUGCGCCUGCACAAGAUUGGCAGGCAGCCUGGCGCGCCUGUACGUAUCGAAAUAGGCAAGGCUAGCACACAUCCCCGGCGUGCUGAUCCCUGCCGAUAUGGCCAACCCGACAACCCUCCUCCAAGCAGCCUGCCUCUGCACCAUCUCUCUAGCAAACUCAGGAUCCACCAGCAAGCUUGCAAGGUUGGGAUUGCGCUGAUAUGCCUUCUUGAUCCUGUCCAAGAAAACAGCUCUUAUGAUGCACCCACCCUUCCAAAUCCUUGCCAACUCCCCCAAAUUCAAGUUCCAUCCCUUCUCCAAGCUCUUGGCCCUCAGCAAGUUCAUCCCCUGAGCAUAGCUGCAAAUCUUGGAGGCAUACAAAGCUUGCCUCACAUCUUCAAUCAACUUCUUCUUGUCAAUCCCACUCCUCACUGACCCCACGCUGUCAUUCAGCCCUGCUUCCUUCAACACCUCGGCUGCAUUCUCCCUUUCCUCCUUCAAUCCACUCAAGUACCUACAA